Long non-coding RNA from Triticum dicoccoides, 4286 nucleotides. RefSeq lists it as uncharacterized. The record is from RefSeq and is a predicted model, not a curated record. Lineage: Eukaryota; Viridiplantae; Streptophyta; Magnoliopsida; Poales; Poaceae. The transcript has 2 exons.
CAAUCUCAUCCUCUCGUCCCACUCCAAACCAGUCGCUAAACAACCCUAGCCCUUUCCCCUCGAUCCUCACGGCCCCCUCUCCUCCUUGUUCAUCACCACCGCUUCCUUCUACCCCCCUCCACCCUGCCUUCCUUCUCUUCAUUGUCGAGCCGAGGGCCUCGCCCAGGCGGCCGCCGCCGGGCUCGGCCCCGCCGCCUCCCGCCACAACUGUGCGCACGGUCAACAAGGAUCUCUGGGCUGCCGCCACCGGCCGGGGGAGAACGGAUGGAAGAGCAGAAGAAUCGCCCUCCGACCAUGUCGUUGGCGACCGAUGAUAGAUAGCCCAAUCGAUCUACCUCGUCUCAUGUUGAGGUGCGUUCUUGUUUUUUCCAUGUGAUGUUCAUCGUUCCUCCCUGCCUCCUGCUUCUCCAUCCAUCGAUUCGGCCUAGGCGACGGGGAUCAAGAUCCGAGGCGGCACACAUCAUCCUCCCAUUUCCCCUCUGCCUACCAUCGAACCUAGAGAUGACAGUGGCAAGGAGCAUGAGAGGGGUCAUUGGAUGAGGUGGUCCAUGUUGAGGAAGAGGGUGUCUGUCGUGAUUGUUUUCCUCUCUUGCUUGAUCCGAUUUUGUGGUCAAAACAAGGGAUCUGAUUUGAUGUUGAUUUUCCUCUUCGAGUUCUUGUCCAUGGCCUUGUUGUGGUUGCACCAUGGUCCAUGGGGAACAAUAAGAACACCUCUGCUACAACUAAAGUCUGGACCUCCACCAAGAAUGACAUCUCUAGGUGACUCUACACAAUUGCAUCUUUAAUUUGUACAUCCAUUUGGUUGCAUAGUACAUAUUUUGGUCUUUUGUCCAUGUUUUGUUGACUUCAUUUGUGGCUAGCUUACUGUAGCGUGAUUUACUGACUCAUCUAUCAUGGGUGCUUGCCAAGGUGAAGUGCCCACUAGAUUCAAAUUUCCUUCAACAAAGAUCAUGCCAUUAAAAAUGUGUAACUAUGUAUGGCACAACAAAGUUUACAUUUUGUGUAUUAAGCUAGUUAGGCUCCUUUCAGUGUUGUUCUCCCAAUUAGACGCUCAUUACCCUCUCUAAUAUGGCAGUUCAACCUUCAAUAAUUAGGUUAUUAUGAUUUUGUGUAUGUUUAUUAUGCCUUGUGAUUUCUUUUCCCAUGUGUUCCAAUAUUUUGUUUGUUUCUUUAGUGCCUAUUGUUUUUGGUUUGUUAAAGCUGAAUUUAUAGCCUACUAUUCAUGCGUUUCUUUUAUUCGGUUUUGUGAGUUCUAAACUAUGAAAUUAUGAAACAUAUAGUUUAUCAGUUUGGGACUUGCUUUAGGAUAAAGAACGAAAGGAAGGAUUCUUAUUUCAUGAUGACACACAUGACUGUCAAACUUCAGAAAAUAUUGGAUUUAUGUACUGUAAAAUUAUCUUUGUUCCUAAUCCUGUAGGCUGUAGUUGGCCUUACUUUUGCUGGGAUAUUUCUUCCAAGUUUGAUAAAGUAACCUGCUAAAGCAUGAUCAACAAAUUAGUCUAACCAAUUAACAUCUAUCAUUAAUUGUGAGAACCAAGCCAAUGAAGAUGGGCAUGAAUCGGUCUUGUCAGAUUCUAUUAUUCGGUGCUUGCAUAUGUCCUAUUGCUGAUGCUCACAAAACUACAUGUAUCUUUUGCCAACAGAACUGUCGAUGAAUUGUAGAUUCAAAAAAUCAGUUUGGCAUAGCUCAAAACUAUCUGCCUUGACUCAUAUCAAGGUUGUUCAGUAUCAUGAAAUAAGAAACAUGCCCCUUGUGAAACCAUAUUUUGAAUUUCCAAUUUACAAAUUGGGUUUGUUUCUCGCGCUUUUUAUCUUUUAAAACAUCAUCAAAACUUUGGGCCAUAAUUAAUAGUAAGGUGCAAUCUCAGUCAUUUAGUUACAUGCUUCAGUUCAGACUUUGCAGAGCCAAAGCUAUUUUAUCAAUAUUCUCUGUUACCACGCCCGCAUUAGUAUGACAUGAGAGUUCGUAUGUUUUCAGUACACUUUGAGUGGGCUUAACCUUUUCUGUUGACAAAUCACUUUCUUGUCUAAAAAUACACCAAUGAUUAUUGAAGUUCGAGAGAGACAUUCUUUUUUAUUGUUUCCAGAUGAUCAAGAUAUGGCAAAGCCCUUCAUGGGAUUCAAGGGGAAGAUGCAACAUAUGUGGUGCCUUAUGUAAGCUAAGCCGGGUUAUUGGAACUAAUUGUUCUUCAGGUUAGCAUCACCUCAGAAUAUAACAUCAUCUAUGUUGAAGUGGUGUAUUUGUGCUACUCUUUACCCACCAUGGUCCAUGGUGAGUUGCUGCUUUGUUCCCAUCAAGGUGAGAUGUUUCUUCAUUACCUUCCUUGUCUCCUAUUGGAUUAAAGGUCUAGGAACUGAUCCAUGCUACAUUUCAUUCCCUACUCUCUUGUGCUAGAAACUUUUGGUUCUCUGUUGGUUGUUGGGUUUCUCCAUAUAUGCAUCUUGUUACAACAAGGUUGAAUGCCUUUUGUUGCCUUGCUCAUUUAGUGUUUGCGGAAAGAUCCAUGGGAUAAUGUGUUGGUGCAGAUAGACUGCCCGUAUGCAGAACCUAUCCUUAGAUUUUGUCUGGAAUAAUGUUUUCGUGCUUACAGUUCUUGUGGUGAUUUGUGCUGAAAAAUCUACGGGCUGAUGUAUUGGUGUGGUCAGCCUACCUGUGCAGAAUCUUUGUUUACAUUUUGUCAAAAUGUUGCGUUCUUGCUUAAUUUUCUCAUGGUGGUUUGGUCCUAUAGAUAAAUCAUGUGUGUGUGUGUGUGUAUGAUGUAUUGUGUCUGAUGCAUGUUUAUGUAGUUGUUCGAUGUAUGUCUAUGUAUAUCUCUAUUUAAUAAACCUGUAUAAUUAUAUAUGGUUAGAGCAGCAGAAUCAAAACUAAUUAUUGUCAUGCUAGAAUGGGUUCAAUGGUGUUUGCCUCCUGAGGUAUUGACAUGUUUUGCAACAUUCUAUUCAAAACAAGGUGGGGAGGGCUCCGGAUGGCAACAUGAGAGUAUAUCGAUAUUGCUUUAAGCUUGCUUCUUUCUUUGUUUGGUUCACGAGUUCCAGAUGCAUGCAGUGUGCAUUGGACAAUGUUGCGGAGGGUUCAAUUUCUUAUUUUUCAGAUUUUGCAGUAACAGGGAUGUGUAUAAUAGAAUUAACUGAAUUGGUGCUUACGGGUUUUGGUGCAUGACUUCUACUUGCUCAAUUAGUUAGCUGAACUAUUUGUUUAGAGAUUUCAGUGCGGAGUGAUCCUCCAGGAAAUGGCAAGAGAGUUAAAGUACCAUAUUAGACUAUUUUUGUGGCCUGUGGCUUUAGAGGCCGGGAAUUGGAGCACUUGUAGGAAGCCAUUCGGGUUAUAGAUAUCAUAUUGAGACAACACUCUGCCAAGCGGUAUGUUUGUUUCUAUGUACUUCUGGGUGCUAAUUCACCAUCUUGAUUUUGGCUGGGAGGUGUGACAUGGUGUGGCAUAUAGAGGUAAUUUGGUGUCCUCUCUCUUUGCCUCUUGCUUCCUCCAACACUCUGGUUUUGAUUGUGCUGAUGCUGCAGACAUUUUAACUUUGUAAGUAUGUUGUUAUAAUCAUACUUAUGUCUAGCCAAAUUCUAUAGGCUGGACCUUAUAAUUUUAUAAUCAUUAGACCCAAUCUUUGUAUCUACUUUGCCUCUUGUAGCUUGGUUAGCAAAAAAAUUGUGCUAAGGUGUUAGUGAUGGUUGUUCUACAUCUGAAGGCAACUUUAUUGCCCAUAAUCUGCAUCCUCUUUUCUUUGGAAAGAAAUACUCAUUUUGCUCUACUAAACUGAAAAUUCCACUUGAAAUUAUUUAUUUUUAUGAUAUAUGGUCGUGCAGCUGUAAUGUGAUCAGAAAUCAGUUAGUAAUGUUACACAUAAUUCACUCUCUUAAGCAUGUUUCUGUUGUAAUGGUUAGUUGUCACAGUGCAUGUAUUUGAGCCCAUCAUCAGGUUUCUAUUGUUGUUUAAAUUAAUUUUUUAGGAAACUAUUUGAUCUUCUAUAGGCCAUUUGUUCUCUAUUGUUUUUCUUUAGAAGUUUCUCCAUGAUGGUACUUUCCACCCGGAAGCCAGAAAAAGAAUCAAGGCCGGUGACCCUGCUUUUGUUCUAAUGGGCAUCCCUUCAUCGAAUGAAGCUUCAACCUGAGCAAGGGCAUGCUUGCAGAUGAUGUAUCUGUUUAAUGUUUGUUAGAAGAGGCGACCGCUUGGUUGAUUUUGUUUGCACGUUCUGUAAAAUAGACUUAGCAACAAAGCUUCGACAAUUUGUUCGCUGUCAUCUCCUUUUCAAACAAUAUACCAUGUUCUGGUUCUUUAA